UGAGGAAUAUUGGACAAUGGGCGCAAGCCUGAUCCAGCAAUGCCGCGUGCAGGAUGAAGGCCUUCGGGUCGUAAACUGCUUUUGUACGGAGCGAAAAGGUCUGCCCUAAUACGGUGGGCUCAUGACGGUACCGUAAGAAUAAGCACCGGCUAACUACGUGCCAGCAGCCGCGGUAAUACGUAGGGUGCGAGCGUUAAUCGGAAUUACUGGGCGUAAAGCGUGCGCAGGCGGUUAUAUAAGACAGAUGUGAAAUCCCCGGGCUCAACCUGGGACCUGCAUUUGUGACUGUAUAGCUAGAGUACGGUAGAGGGGGAUGGAAUUCCGCGUGUAGCAGUGAAAUGCGUAGAUAUGCGGAGGAACACCGAUGGCGAAGGCAAUCCCCUGGACCUGUAAUGACGCUCAUGCACGAAAGCGUGGGGAGCAAACA
RNAcentral lists this ribosomal RNA (427 nucleotides) under uncultured bacterium. RNAcentral's name for it is "bacterial SSU rRNA". It matches the Rfam family "Bacterial small subunit ribosomal RNA", at positions 355 to 774 of the family's 1533-position model. The record is from RNAcentral.